RNAcentral lists this ribosomal RNA (861 nucleotides) under Pseudomonas sp. EA_R_43. RNAcentral describes it as "bacterial SSU rRNA". It matches the Rfam family "Bacterial small subunit ribosomal RNA", at positions 31 to 893 of the family's 1533-position model. The record is from RNAcentral. Lineage: Bacteria; Pseudomonadati; Pseudomonadota; Gammaproteobacteria; Pseudomonadales; Pseudomonadaceae.
GGAUGGGCGGCGGCUACACAUGCAAGUCGAGCGGUAGAGAGGUGCUUGCACCUCUUGAGAGCGGCGGACGGGUGAGUAAUGCCUAGGAAUCUGCCUGGUAGUGGGGGAUAACGCUCGGAAACGGACGCUAAUACCGCAUACGUCCUACGGGAGAAAGCAGGGGACCUUCGGGCCUUGCGCUAUCAGAUGAGCCUAGGUCGGAUUAGCUAGUUGGUGAGGUAAUGGCUCACCAAGGCGACGAUCCGUAACUGGUCUGAGAGGAUGAUCAGUCACACUGGAACUGAGACACGGUCCAGACUCCUACGGGAGGCAGCAGUGGGGAAUAUUGGACAAUGGGCGAAAGCCUGAUCCAGCCAUGCCGCGUGUGUGAAGAAGGUCUUCGGAUUGUAAAGCACUUUAAGUUGGGAGGAAGGGCAUUAACCUAAUACGUUAGUGUUUUGACGUUACCGACAGAAUAAGCACCGGCUAACUCUGUGCCAGCAGCCGCGGUAAUACAGAGGGUGCAAGCGUUAAUCGGAAUUACUGGGCGUAAAGCGCGCGUAGGUGGUUCGUUAAGUUGGAUGUGAAAUCCCCGGGCUCAACCUGGGAACUGCAUUCAAAACUGUCGAGCUAGAGUAUGGUAGAGGGUGGUGGAAUUUCCUGUGUAGCGGUGAAAUGCGUAGAUAUAGGAAGGAACACCAGUGGCGAAGGCGACCACCUGGACUGAUACUGACACUGAGGUGCGAAAGCGUGGGGAGCAAACAGGAUUACAUACCCUGGUAGUCCACGCCGUAAACGAUGUCAACUUCCGUUGGGAGCCUUGAGCUCUUAGUGGCGCAGCUAACGCAUUAAGUUGACCGCCUGGGGAGUACGGCCGCAAGG